This 253-nucleotide ribosomal RNA is filed under the name uncultured bacterium. Its description in RNAcentral is "partial 16S ribosomal RNA". It matches the Rfam family "Bacterial small subunit ribosomal RNA", at positions 524 to 776 of the family's 1533-position model. The record is from RNAcentral.
UACGUAGGUGGCAAGCGUUGUCCGGAUUUACUGGGCGUAAAGAGCGCGCAGGCGGUCGUUCAAGUCGCGUGUGAAAGCCCCCGGCUCAACUGGGGAGGGUCACGCGAUACUGAUCGACUCGAAGGCAGGAGAGGGAAGUGGAAUUCCCGGUAUAGUGGUGAAAUGCGUAGAUAUCGGGAGGAACACCAGUGGCGAAGGCGACUUCCUGGCCUGUUCUUGACGCUGAGGCGCGAAAGCUAGGGGAGCAAACGGG